Small nuclear RNA from Metopolophium dirhodum (rose-grain aphid), 202 nucleotides. RefSeq annotates it as U2 spliceosomal RNA. The record is from RefSeq and is a predicted model, not a curated record. Lineage: Eukaryota; Metazoa; Arthropoda; Insecta; Hemiptera; Aphididae. The transcript has a single exon.
AUCUCGUCAUAGAUUAAAUAUACGUAUAGUAUUUAUUAUAAUAUACUAUACGUAUGUUUAAUCUAUGAUCAACUUUUCAAUUGAGAUCAAUGAUUUGUUAGUUCACUAAUUUUUGGAAAAGUUGUGGAGAUUUUGGGGCUUGCUCUUGCUCCACCUCGGGUUGACCCGGUAUUGCACUAUCACCGGGAACGGCCCACAUAAU